RNAcentral lists this ribosomal RNA (433 nucleotides) under uncultured bacterium. RNAcentral's name for it is "partial 16S ribosomal RNA". It matches the Rfam family "Bacterial small subunit ribosomal RNA", at positions 29 to 507 of the family's 1533-position model. The record is from RNAcentral.
AACGAGCGCUGGCGGCAGGCCUAACACAUGCAAGUCGAGCGAGGACUUCGGUCCUAGCGGCGGACGGGUGAGUAACGCGUGGGAACGUGCCCUUUGCUUCGGAAUAGCCCUGGGAAACUGGGAGUAAUACCGGAUGAGCCCUUUGGGGGAAAGAUUUAUCGGCGAAGGAUCGGCCCGCGUUGGAUUAGGUAGUUGGUGGGGUAAUGACCUACCAAGCCGACGAUCCAUAGCUGGUUUGAGAGGAUGAUCAGCCACACUGGGACUGAGACACGGCCCAGACUCCUACGGGAGGCAGCAGUGGGGAAUCUUAGACAAUGGGGGAAACCCUGAUCUAGCCAUGCCGCGUGAGCGAUGAAGGCCUUAGGGUUGUAAAGCUCUUUCAGCUGGGAAGAUAAUGACGGUACCAGCAGAAGAAGCCCCGGCUAACUCCGUG